RNAcentral lists this ribosomal RNA (305 nucleotides) under uncultured bacterium. RNAcentral's name for it is "bacterial SSU rRNA". It matches the Rfam family "Bacterial small subunit ribosomal RNA", at positions 333 to 652 of the family's 1533-position model. The record is from RNAcentral.
AGCUUCCUACGGGGCGCAGCAGUGGGGAAUAUUGGGCAAUGGGCGCAAGCCUGACCCAGCAACGCCGCGUGAAGGAAGAAGGCUUUCGGGUUGUAAACUUCUUUUCUCAGGGACGAAGCAAGUGACGGUACCUGAGGAAUAAGCCACGGCUAACUACGUGCCAGCAGCCGCGGUAAUACGUAGGUGGCAAGCGUUAUCCGGAUUCACUGGGUGUAAAGGGCGUGUAGGCGGGAAAGCAAGUCAGAUGUGAAAACCACGGGCUCAACCUGAGGCCGGCAUUUGAAACUGUUUUUCUUGAGUACUGG